UACGUAGGGUCCGAGCGUUGUCCGGAAUUACUGGGCGUAAAGGGCGCGUAGGCGGCCUUCUAAGUCGGACGUGAAAGCCCCAGGCUUAACCUGGGAACUGCGUCCGAUACUGGGAGGCUUGGAUUCGGGAGAGGGAUGCGGAAUUCCAGGUGUAGCGGUGAAAUGCGUAGAUAUCUGGAGGAACACCGGUGGCGAAGGCGGCAUCCUGGACCGGCAUUGACGCUGAGGCGCGAAAGCCAGGGGAGCAAACGGG
RNAcentral lists this ribosomal RNA (253 nucleotides) under uncultured bacterium. Its description in RNAcentral is "partial 16S ribosomal RNA". It matches the Rfam family "Bacterial small subunit ribosomal RNA", at positions 524 to 776 of the family's 1533-position model. The record is from RNAcentral.